RNAcentral lists this ribosomal RNA (497 nucleotides) under uncultured bacterium. Its description in RNAcentral is "partial 16S ribosomal RNA". It matches the Rfam family "Bacterial small subunit ribosomal RNA", at positions 28 to 507 of the family's 1533-position model. The record is from RNAcentral.
GAUGAACGCUGGCGGCGUGCCUAAUACAUGCAAGUCGAGCGAACGGACGAGAAGCUUGCUUUUCUGAUGUUAGCGGCGGACGGGUGAGUAACACGUGGAUAACCUACCUAUAAGACUGGGAUAACUUCGGGAAACCGGAGCUAAUACCGGAUAAUAUUUUGAACCGCAUGGUUCAACAGUGAAAGACGGUCUUGCUGUCACUUAUAGAUGGAUCCGCGCUGCAUUAGCUAGUUGGUAAGGUAACGGCUUACCAAGGCAACGAUGCAUAGCCGACCUGAGAGGAUGAUCGGGCACACUGGAACUGAGACACGGCCCAGACUCCUAAGGGAGGCAGCAGUAGGGAAUCUUCCGCAAUGGGCGAAAGCCUGACGGAGCAAAGCCGCGUGAGUGAUGAAGGUCUUCGGAUUGUAAAACUCUGUUAUUAGGGAAGAACAUAUGUGUAAGUAACUGUGCACAUCUUGACGGUACCUAAUCAGAAAGCCACGGCUAACUACGUG